Molecule: ribosomal RNA, 301 nt
Filed under: uncultured bacterium
Lineage: Bacteria
Description: partial 16S ribosomal RNA
Rfam family: Bacterial small subunit ribosomal RNA
Source: RNAcentral
CAGCCGCCGCGGGAAUACGUAGGUGGCAAGCGUUGUCCGGAAUCACUGGGCGUAAAGGGUGCGUAGGCGGGUCUUUAAGUCAGGGGUGAAAUCCUGGAGCUCAACCCCAGAACUGCCUUUGAUACUGAAGAUCUUGAGUUCGGGAGAGGUGAGUGGAACUGCGAGUGUAGAGGUGAAAUUCGUAGAUAUUCGCAAGAACACCAGUGGCGAAGGCGCCUCACUGGCCCGAUACUGACGCUGAGGCACGAAAGCGUGGGGAGCAAACAGGAUUAGAUACCCCGGUAGUCCCUGUCUCUUAUAC